GACGAACGCUGGCGGCGUGCUUAACACAUGCAAGUCGAGCGGUAAGGCCCUUCGGGGUACACGAGCGGCGAACGGGUGAGUAACACGUGGGUGACCUGCCCUCCACUCUGGGAUAAGCCUGGGAAACCGGGUCUAAUACCGGAUAUGACCUCCGCAUGCAUGUGCGGUGGAGGAAAGUUCUGGCGGUGGGGGAUGGGCCCGCGGUCUAUCAGCUUGUUGGUGGGGUGAUGGCCUACCAAGGCGACGACGGAGAGCCGGCCGGAGAGGGUGAUCGGCCACACUGGGACUGAGACACGGCCCAGACUGCUACGGGAGGCAGCCGUGGGGAAUCUUGCGCAAUGGGCGGAAGCCUGACGCAGCAACGCCGCGUGGGGGAUGACGGCCUUCGGGUUGUAAACCUCUUUCGCGAUCGACGAAGCGUACUUCUGGUACGGGUGACGGUAGGUCGAGAAGAAGCACCGGCCAACUACGUG
This 473-nucleotide ribosomal RNA is filed under the name uncultured bacterium. RNAcentral describes it as "partial 16S ribosomal RNA". It matches the Rfam family "Bacterial small subunit ribosomal RNA", at positions 28 to 507 of the family's 1533-position model. The record is from RNAcentral.